This 4649-nucleotide long non-coding RNA is filed under the name Daphnia pulex (common water flea). RNAcentral's name for it is "uncharacterized LOC124190161, transcript variant X2". Lineage: Eukaryota; Metazoa; Arthropoda; Branchiopoda; Diplostraca; Daphniidae. The record is from RNAcentral.
AUGUAAUAUGCAAUAUAUCCAGUUGGGGUUGCGUGUAAUUGUGAGGGCACAACACUGGGGGUGUGUAUGGGAGAUUACAGAAGUUUGCAUCAAGGGAGCAGAUCAUGGGCGAAGGGUGUCGCUGUCGAAUUUCUAUGGGGAAGAAAAAAAUAGAAAAAAUUCUCCAGAGGGAGUCCCUCGGUCCCUUUUCGUGGGCGAAAUGUGUUGCGUGACUCACGAGCGCACCCUGUGCUUGCAGUAAGGGGGGAGGAAGAGGAGGGUAUAAAGAAAAGACUGCUGAUGCGUUAAAUAGUCCCGGUCACUGAUGGCAAGUCUCAUGAUUCUCACCGCUGUAUACAAAUACAUGUUCACUCCGCCGUGUCGUUUGCCAUUAUUUUUCCAACCCCUCCGGCCGUUUUCCUAUAAUAUGGAACCCAACAAUAUAUUAUGAAAAGGAGAAAUGGUCUUUCUAUAUUACAUAUUGCGUAGUAGUAUAAGAUGUGUAGAUUUUAUAUCCUCAAAACUGAAAUUGUCUCAGCUGUUUAGUUUCCCCAAUUUUUCGAUCGGCACUUCGCUACCCCCUUUGGGAAAUGAAAUGCUGAUUAGACAUAUAAAUAAAAGUAUAGUUGGACGUGAUGUGGUUUUUCAAAUGAUGAAAACGUUUCAUUAGUCAGGCUCCAUAUAUCCAGCAGCAGCCCAGUCUCAUAUAUAGUUUCAAUGUGCCGUGGUGGUGGUGAUGAUGACCAUCUGGUUGUUUCUUGCGGUGUCGGAUGAGGGUUGCGAUUGGUUUCGCUCCGAUUAAGGGAAAACGAACCCAAAAAAAAGGAGGAAAAUGUUAAGGGGGGCAGCUCCCACUUUAGAUAAUAUCCAUCCAUCCCCUCUUAUUCUUGAUAUUAUAUGUACCUACGUAUAUAUAUCGGUCGGAUGAUGAAUGAACGCCGAUCAUCGGAUACGGCACCGAAAUGACGAGGGAAAUAUCUUGACAAGUUGCGCCUUGAUAAAUGAUCGGAUCAAAGAACAUCCAGGCCAUAGAGAAAAAAAAGACGAUCCAUCAAUGCGAAUGCGGAAGAGACCGCGCUGUGUCCAUUGCGCAGGAAAUGAAUGAUUUUAUGUACAAGGCCUAUAUAUUGAUACAGCUGUGUGGCCGCCAAUGUUAACUCUACACAUUUAUAGACAGAUUCAAAUUAACACUAUAUCCGACAUCAUCUACUUGUAACCAUUGCGAGGGGAUUUAGUGUUUAUAUGCGCCAUUUAAAAAAGAAAAAAGUCGCAAUGUAGACAGGAGAUAUGCGGUCCCGCCGGUCCCCCAUCACCCCGGACGCGGUAAAUGGAAUCUCGGAUGGAUGUAAUCCGUCGUGUAUAAUUCCAUCGCGGCGCAAAGCACACAGCCAUUUUGAUUGACGGGCGCUCUGCUGCGAGCUUUGGAUUUCUCAAAUUAUAUAUCUCGAGAGAAACGCGCAACACAUCACGGAAUUUGAUUGACUUUCCAUUUUGAAAAUAAAAUAGACGGAGAGUAUAGCGCGCUAGCUGGCUGGAUGGCUGGUAUAGAUGGUAGCAGCAGCACUCAAAUCAUCAAGCGACCAAGUGGAAUCAAGUGGAGGAUGACGCCCCCCCCCCCUGAUGCGUGACACACACCAAAUACCAUCCAGAGUUCAAAGCAGCUGAAAAUGCCAUCGCCAACAUAUCCAAUCCGAUUAUACACGAAAGCGAGUUGAUCUAAUCCUGUACACCAGACGAGCUGCUGCCGCUGUUCGCAACGUCACAUGUAAACCAUUCGGAGAUGUAGAUAUAAAUGUGGCCCUAGAGGUAUCUCUCUCUCCGAUUUUUACCGGUAUAAAUACACAGGGCGGGGGAAGGGAGGCUUUAUUGCAAUUCGCGCGGGAUCGACCCUCGGCCACGUCAUAGCAGAGGGUGGCGUUCGGAUGUUAGUAAAUAGUUCACCCUCUUCAUGAAUUGAUCUCGAGGAGUGAUCCCUUUCUCUUCUUUUUUUUUUCUCUGCUCUUUUCGGUGUGUUGCAUAUGUAUAGAUGACAGUCUGUACAUGGUAUAGGAGCAGAGUUAUAUUGUAUAGGAACUGGGACGUUGACUAUCAAAAACCCUGAUGCGUGAUUGCCUCCACUCUCUCUCUCCCUUUUUCUUCUCUACGACUGUCGUAUAGACAUAAAUGUAUAUUCUUGUGUUAUAGGGGUGCAGGGUGGGCUGCCAUUGGGUGAAUGGUGUAUAGGGGGAACGUUCUCAUUUAUUGAUGAAGAAUUUAAAAGAUCGGCGUGACUCAGCCCGCGGCUGCGGUUUGAUCCAUUUUCUAUAGACCCGGCGACUUCUCCCCCACAAAAUUAAACCAGGGGAGGAAAAAAAAAAUAGCAAGAGGAAAUACUUUUUUGUUAUUAGAGGGGAAAAAUUUAAGGGAGUAAUGUAUUACAAUUGAUGAUGAUAUGCACUCUAAGAGAUGAUGGAAAAAUGGAAAAAAAGGCUAAACAAUAAGUUGGGAUUUAUAUUGAUCAAUCAAUCAAAAUCACAUCCCAAAUCUUUACUGUUGUUGGGAAGGAAGAAUUUUGUGGUUUUUUUGAAAUAUAAUACUUUAAUCUACACCAUCUAGUGCUACAUUCAUAUUUUGGUUACUUUGGUCGAACUCAUUUGAGCCUCAACGCCAUUAAGUGUGACAUUUACGUUUUUUAAUGCUGUGCUGUCAUUUCAUCAUAUAUGAAAUUUUAAAAUUAAAUCAUAUUAAAUCAAUUUGAUUAAUUCAUUAAAACUUCAGAAAAUUGGCAGCACUGCGCCACCGCAUCCAGUUCUCACGGAAAUUCGUCUGCUAAAGUAGGCAAUUCUCACGUGUCACGUCGGUAUUUCUGGAGGGUCACGUACGGUAAGAAUGUUAUCAUAGCAUAGUGUUAAAGUUUCAGCCACAGAACAUUGAUUUUUCUAUUAUUAUGAGAGUUUGCAAAAUAAGUCCGUUCACGCAAAAGUUUUGAUUGUUUCCCUAUUUCUCAAUCGUAGUACUUGUGCUAUCUUCGGUUGUCCCGCCCUCCUACAGCUACAGGUUGUUACGUGUUGAAACGAAAGAAGGCAAGUCAGGGAAAUGUAUGAAACAGCCCAGGGUUUCAAUAUCUGUGCAAGAAGUGAGAAAUGGUUUGUUGUGUUUAAUGAUGAUAAGAAGCUUGUGUUACAUGUGUCUUUAUCGGCCAAUGUUACCCCAUCACUUAGCUUAAAAGGCGAUAGCAAGUCUAACUAUCCUCUCUCUCUUUAGAUACUAUGUGUAACUGGUGAAAUCAGCAAGAAUCCAGAAACGAAGAAAGAGUACCUGAUAAAGUCAACCCACUUUCAUUCUACAUGGAUCCUAGUUAAAAAUUGGGCAACAAAAUAUUGCUGCUGAAGUAAAAUGCUACCCAGCAAAUGAGAAGAUCGUCGACGUUGGUGACGAAACGUAUGUGAGGGAUCGUUGACAGGCAGCCCAGUAUUCGCCCACGUGUUCCAGGUUCGACAGAGAGAAUGGUGGAGCAAUCUUCCGUGGCUUAUGUGCUACAACACGAGCAACGAGAUUAAACAAAUGAAGUGAGAGAAUGCAGCCGUCAACGACACCGUCUUCAUUUACUUCCCUCGCAGGUUGCUGAUCGGUGAUACACAAUGAACAAGGAAGCUCUAUCUUGAUGGCAGCUCUUGACUCUGGAGUUUAACACAGCAUCUUGAUCAGACUCAAAUAGGAAAGCAACAAGUACAAUGACAACUCUCGGAGUUAGGAACAGCAUUUUGAGCAGUAGUACAAGAAAAAUUACCCAAUAAAGACUCAGGAAACUUUGGAUCACGACCGUCAUCGGCGAGAAUUUGGUUCAUUGCAAAACUCAUGUUUGUCGAAAAACUGACAGCGGGAAGAAAUUGGAUAAUUUGGUGAUGAAACUCAUGCCAUGGAUGACAGUUAUACGUGACACAGUUGACAAACGAGCUUGAGAUGCAUAAAAUAAUUCAAAAUUUGCGGGAAUUUGAAGAAUUAGGUAGGUGAAGGAGGUAUGAGAAAUCCAAAUGCGCCGUCAUUUUCAUGGUUCACGUCGAUCCGCGUCCAGCUAGUAUUCACCUAGUGCAGCUAACUCCCAAAAGCAAGCAGAGGUUAUUCUGCGCCGCUAUUCAAUGGAUUGAAUCCGUUGAACCUGACGAGAGAUGACAUCUCAGCGACGACGAACUGAUGUGCCGUCAUUCAGCAAUACUGCUCACUUGCGUGCUGUCCUUUCGUCGCUCCGAUUCAUCGAGGAGUUGAGCCUGGUCCAGCUACGCGGCCAGCUGCCAGAACAAUUGGAUUACCCAGCCGACUUGUAAGUUACUCUAGCUCUCAACACAGCACAGAGUUUUACUCUUUAGAUUAUGUUUGGCUGUUUGCCAUGUGUGAUGGCGUUUUCUUGUGUGGGACUACACUAAUCUUUCCCUAUCGAAACUGGCCUCACACUCCUCACUUCUUCCUUGUCCAGGUUAUCUCCCUGGACACAGUCAAUCAAGGCAGUGUCUCCCCUUUCUUGAUUGACUGAACUUUGUGAGGAAAAUUGAACAUUUCAUAUUGAUAAAAUUAAUUUAAUGGAGGUAAAAUAUAAAUAUUUAUGAUGAGGGAUGAUAAACAUAUGUAAAUAAUAGUGUCAAUAAGCUUGUAAAGUUAUAUUUUCUUCUUUAAAAUACAAUUUUGUAUAUAUA